Molecule: ribosomal RNA, 253 nt
Filed under: uncultured bacterium
Lineage: Bacteria
Description: partial 16S ribosomal RNA
Rfam family: Bacterial small subunit ribosomal RNA
Source: RNAcentral
UACGUAGGUGGCAAGCGUUACUCGGAAUCACUAGGCGUAAAGCGCAGGUAGGCGGUUCGGUAAGUCUUUUGUGAAAGCUCCUGGCUCAACUGGGAGAGGUCAAAGGAAACUACCGGGCUAGAGUGUGGUAGGGGAUACUGGAAUUCCUGGUGUAGCGGUGAAAUGCGUAGAUAUCAGGAGGAAUACCUAUGGCGAAAGCAGGUAUCUGGGCCAUCACUGACGCUGAGCUGCGAAAGCUAGGGGAGCAAACAGG